AUAAAAUCUUGUCAUCAUGUAGACCACAAAAGGGCUCAGAUUCCUACUGAAAUAGAGGACUCAAAGGUCUGAGAAGGGGAGGGUGCCCAGUCCUGUCGCUGAGACAUUUGUGUGGAUGAUUAAAAUGGAGGCUAAAUUUGGGAUUCUGAAAGACGGAGGAAUUGCGCCGGGCAACACAACAUGGGGAACCCAGGUGCACUUUACCAUUCCUCCUGCAGGUUGACCACCUGCUGAUCCUAGACCUCCUGCAGCUGCAUAGAAAGCCAUGAAACAUGUCCCAAAUCCCACAUCCUAACAUCCCAGAUGAGUAUUGUGACCUAAUGGAAAUCUUCAGCAAGCCUCCACUGCACUGACAUUAUGACUGCACAGUUAAGGUGAUGCUGGGCACCAUGCUACUAAGUGAGGGAGUUUAACCCUAUAUCUAACUGAACAAUGAGCCAUGGAGGAACAUAUUCUGGAGUCAGUAAAACAAGGCUACACCAGACCCAUUACGUCUCCAUCAUCUGUACACAGACUUGUACACAGUGAAAUACCCCUGUCCUUUGUCACUUGAUCUGGCAGCCUUAGAACAGCUUUGAAUUGCCAAGUUCUUCACCAAGCCUGUCCUAUGCAGUGCUUACAAUCAACAAGGUGGAUGGGUGUAGACAGACUUCUAAGUCUGAGAGACCAGGGUAAGUGCCAUCCUUUCCUAAUGAUUUGGAGGAAAACCCAUGCUUAAUCCAGUUACCUUCUUCCCAAAAAGCUGGCAGAGGAUGAGCAAUGUUGGUUACCAGGAGCUACUGAAUGGUGAUUUUGGCUGAAGGGGGUAGAGCACACCUUUGCCAUAUAUACUGAUCACAAAUACUUUAAAUAUCCCUUAAUAAUGUAUAAUCCUCUUGUCCACCUCAUUGUGCUACCUUGCCAUGCAGCUCACCCUUUUCUGAUGCAUGUUUGGCUAUCAAUCCCCACUAUGUGCAUCAAACACCAACCCCACUGACUCUCUGGCUGUAGAUAACUGGCUCUGAUACAUUGAAGUGUUCGAGGCAACCCACUAAAGACUAAACUGAGCCAUUCAAACCCAACAAAUGUCAUUCUGAUCAACACAGAGAACCCUCUCAAUAGUAUCAUCCUGGUGACAGGGAAUCACAUGCCUGCAUUUUUCACAUGCCAUCAUUUUUUUCUGUUUGAUGAUCAACCUGACAUGUGCCUACCAUUGACAUUUAUU
This is a long non-coding RNA of Tachysurus vachellii, 1204 nucleotides long. RefSeq lists it as uncharacterized. Lineage: Eukaryota; Metazoa; Chordata; Actinopteri; Siluriformes; Bagridae. The transcript is spliced from 3 exons. The record is from RefSeq and is a predicted model, not a curated record.